RNAcentral lists this ribosomal RNA (467 nucleotides) under uncultured bacterium. Its description in RNAcentral is "partial 16S ribosomal RNA". It matches the Rfam family "Bacterial small subunit ribosomal RNA", at positions 329 to 792 of the family's 1533-position model. The record is from RNAcentral.
UGCCAGACUCCUACGGGAGGCAGCAGUGAGGAAUAUUGGUCAAUGGGCGCGAGCCUGAACCAGCCAAGUCGCGUGAGGGAUGACGGCCCUACGGGUUGUAAACCUCUUUUGCCGGGGAGCAACGGGCGCCACGUGUGGCGCCACUGAGAGUACCCGGAGAAAAAGCAUCGGCUAACUACGUGCCAGCAGCCGCGGUAAUACGUAGGGGGCAAGCGUUAUCCGGAUUUACUGGGUGUAAAGGGAGCGUAGACGGCGGUGCAAGCCAGAUGUGAAAGCCCGGGGCUCAACCCCGGGACUGCAUUUGGAACUGUGCUGCUAGAGUGUCGGAGAGGCAGGCGGAAUUCCUAGUGUAGCGGUGAAAUGCGUAGAUAUUAGGAGGAACACCAGUGGCGAAGGCGGCCUGCUGGACGAUGACUGACGUUGAGGCUCGAAAGCGUGGGGAGCAAACAGGAUUAGAUACCCGCGUA